RNAcentral lists this ribosomal RNA (143 nucleotides) under uncultured eukaryote. RNAcentral describes it as "partial 18S ribosomal RNA". It matches the Rfam family "Eukaryotic small subunit ribosomal RNA", at positions 1299 to 1458 of the family's 1831-position model. The record is from RNAcentral.
UGGUGGAGUGAUUUGUCUGCUUAAUUGCGAUAACGAACGAGACCUUAACCUGCUAAAUAGUAACGCAAACUCUUUGGGUUUAGCGGUCUACUUCUUAGAGGGACUGUCGAUGUUUCAAUCGACGGAAGUUUGAGGCAAUAACA